CAGUGAUAAACUGGAGGAAGGUGGGGAUGACGUCAAGUCAUCAUGGCCCUUACGACCAGGGCUACACACGUGCUACAAUGGCAUAUACAAAGAGAAGCGACCUCGCGAGAGCAAGCGGACCUCAUAAAGUAUGUCGUAGUCCGGAUUGGAGUCUGCAACUCGACUCCAUGAAGUCGGAAUCGCUAGUAAUCGUGGAUCAGAAUGCCACGGUGAAUACGUUCCCGGGCCUUGUACACACCGCCCGUCACACCAUGGGAGUGGGUUGCAAAAGAAGUAGGUAGCUUAACCUUCGGGAGGGCGCUUACCACUUUGUGAUUCAUGACUGGGGUGAAGUCGUAACAAGGUAACCGUAGGGGAACCUGC
RNAcentral lists this ribosomal RNA (363 nucleotides) under Citrobacter amalonaticus. RNAcentral's name for it is "bacterial SSU rRNA". It matches the Rfam family "Bacterial small subunit ribosomal RNA", at positions 1153 to 1515 of the family's 1533-position model. The record is from RNAcentral. Lineage: Bacteria; Pseudomonadati; Pseudomonadota; Gammaproteobacteria; Enterobacterales; Enterobacteriaceae.